UUCUCACUAAGGCACAAUGGAGCCUUUUUUCAUAAUGGGGAGGGUAUCAGAAGCCAUAAGUCCUGGCUCACUGGUUUUUCCUUGGUCCCCUUCCCCCCGGAAAGAAACGCAGGCCUUCAUGUAGAA
Molecule: non-coding RNA, 126 nt
Organism: Ornithorhynchus anatinus (platypus)
Lineage: Eukaryota; Metazoa; Chordata; Mammalia; Monotremata; Ornithorhynchidae
Source: RefSeq, marked provisional